CGCUCGUCUUCGGAUGAGAGGUGAUGAGCCUCUGCCUUUCAGUUCUCUUGGAACAAGACAGAAGAUAGUCAAUCUUACUGUCGCGCAUACCUUAAGCGGGUCUGCCGCCUUCGUUUCUCUUUCUUCAGCGAAUGACUAACCUCCCUUUGGCUCUGCCUGUAAGGCGUGCCUUGCCGGUGCAAUAUGCCAGCAGGGUUCGGUUUAGGGCUUGUAGCUCAGUUGGUUAGAGCGCGCGCUUGAUAAGCGUGAAGUCGGAGGUUCAAGUCCUCCCAGGCCCACCACUUCGCAAUCCGCAAGGGUUGUCGUUUGUCUCCUCGACAAAGGUAUCAGGGGCCGUAGCUCAGCUGGGAGAGCGCCUGCUUUGCAAGCAGGAUGUCGUCGGUUCGAUCCCGUCCGGCUCCACCAUUACCUUGGUGUAGAGUAGAGAUGAUCGCCGUUGGUCUAGUCGUUCGUAUAAAGGUUUGUGGUGAGCUUCUUGGCUCGCCGCUUGUUCUGUUUGACAUCGUAAAGAGAAGAUUUGUUCGAACUUCAUGGUCCGUAAGGUCCGUGAUUUGUCGCAAGGGACGCUCAAUCCCUUGCAUAUGAUGGGUUUGCCUAACCGCGCCCUCGAACCGAUCUCGAGAAGCUGGUCUUUUUGUGCCAAUGACAUCGGAUCAAAUUCCGCACAGGAUUUGGUCCAGGCGACAAUCCUUCGGAUUGCGCGGACGCUAAUCCCGCUAGGGUUUGGCUGAAACGACAAUCCUUUCGGAUUGCGCGGAUGGGCAUUGGCAAUGAGAACGAUCAAGUGUCUUAAGGGCAAUUGGUGGAUGCCUUGGCAUGCACAGGCGAUGAAGGACGUGAUACGCUGCGAUAAGCUACGGGAGGUG
This 866-nucleotide unclassified non-coding RNA is filed under the name Mesorhizobium huakuii. RNAcentral describes it as "partial contains 16S-23S ribosomal RNA intergenic spacer, and 23S ribosomal RNA". The stretch from base 205 to 278 matches the Rfam family "tRNA". The record is from RNAcentral. Lineage: Bacteria; Pseudomonadati; Pseudomonadota; Alphaproteobacteria; Hyphomicrobiales; Phyllobacteriaceae.